Long non-coding RNA from Cyprinus carpio carpio, 2705 nucleotides. The record is from Ensembl. Lineage: Eukaryota; Metazoa; Chordata; Actinopteri; Cypriniformes; Cyprinidae.
AUGAAGUUUGAUCUAAAUCAGAAAAUGUAUGUGGAUGUUAUUAGACAUUUCCUGUUUCUCAUUUUUUUUGCCCUAAUUUCAACGCCUCGCCAUGGACAAACCGUUCGAGAUAUCAAAAAUCCCCUGGCAAUUUUUCAUCCCCAAUGUCUUGAGAUCAUGUUCACCGAGUUUCGUGGAGAACGGGUGGAAAACCUCAGAGGAGUAUUUCAAAUUCCAGAGCAUGCUUUUUUGAAACAGCCCUGAAUAGCUGACUUCCUGUUGGGCGGAGCCUAUUGCAUGAAAAGUGAAAGUUGUUCGGCUCAAUGAGAUCUAUAAGUGUACAGAGUUUCAUAUAAAUACAUGCAAGUAUGUGUGAGCUAUACUUCAAGAUUUCUGACUGUGUUCCAGGGGGCGCCGUAGAGCCACUGUGCCACGCCCGGAUCCCAGCCUCUGCGGCAUCCUAACUAUCAUUAAUACUUAUAUGUGGUUUGAGUUUCAUGAAAUUCUAUGUAUGUUAUCUGCCUCAAAAUCACCAGAGAAGAAUAUUAAGGUUUGACAUGUUGCCAUGGCAACAAUAUUAUAGUUAUCAAUAUCCCCUCAACAGUUUUAUAUCGGCCAUGUUUUGUCAUUAUUCUGAUGAAGUUUGAAGCAAAUUGAGUAAAAAUACGAUGCUGAAUUCAAAGCAUUUUGAAAAUGACACACUUCCUGCUGCCAGUUGGUGGCGCUAUAACUUUGGAUCCUAAUAGUCACAUCAAUGUGAUCAGCAUCAUAAAACGAACAAACCCCUGAAGUUGGAUCAAGAUCAGAAAAUGUAUGUGGAUGUUAUUAGACACUUCCUGUUUCUCAUUUUUCGCCCUAAUUUCAACGCCUCGCCACAGAGAAACCGUUCGAGAUAUCAAAAAUCCCCUGGCAAUUUAGCAUCCCCAAUGUCUUGAGAUCAUGUUCACCGAGUUUCGAGGCAUACAGUUGAAAUUCCUCAGAGGAGUAUUUCAAAUUCCAGAGCAUUUGUUUUUCACAAAACCCUAAAUAGCCAACUUCCUGUUGGGUGGAGCUUAUGACAUGCAGUGCGAAAGUUGUUUGGUUUGAUGAGAUCUACAUGUGUACCGAGUUUCAGAUGUAUACGUGCAAGUAUGCAUGAUAUAUGGCCCUCAAUAUUCCAGGGGGCGCUGUGGAGCCCCUGUGCCACGCCCGUGUAUCAGUCUCUGCCCGGUCCUAAUGGCCGCAGGUUCCAGUGUGUGUGCCAAUUUUUCAAGACUUUUUAAGCAUGUUAAGGGCCCCAAAAGCCCCCGAGACGUUAGAAAAAAAUAAUAAUAAUUAAAGCUGCAAGCAGCGAUGAACGGGCCCUCGCACCCGGGCUCACCGCCAGCGGGUGGCUUUUGUAAAACAGCGAACGGCAAGAUAUAUGCGUUUUAAUGUGGUAAAUAGAAGAGAAAUAUGUCAAAGUCAUUUAUAUGUGCCAAUCUUCCAGCUGCCAGCUGGUGGCGCUAUGACUAUAACUGGAUUUCGGCAUGUACAUUUCUUCAGUCCAGCACUUUUAUCAAGCAUAUGAAAUUUAGUGCAGAUUGAACAUGGAAUGUUUGAGGUUAGUAUAAGGCAUGAGGUGUCCUAUUGACAACAGGUGGCGCUAUGAUUAUAACUGAAUAUUGGCCUUUAGAUAUCUUCAGGCCAUGACUCUUUCCAAAUAUUUGAAGUUUGGUGCAGAUUGGACAUUGCAUGUUUAAGUUAGUGCAAAACAAGCCAUUUUCCUGUUGCCAGCAGGUGGCGCUAUGAUUAUAGUGGAAUAAUGACCUUCAGAUGUGUUCAGGCCAAGACUCUUUUCGAACAUGUGAAGUUUGGGGAAGAUCGGACAUCUUAUGCCUGAGUUACAACAACUUCUAUUCCCAUGGCGAGACAUCAAACUUUGUCACGGCGCCAUGGCCACACCCUUUAAUGAAACCUCAAGAUGUUCACAAUUUAACAUCGCAAAGGCCUUUAGAUUAGACUGACCAAAAAAAAUUAUAAAAUGUCAUAAAAUAUCUAGGAGUAGUUUGUUACGGCGUAAAACAUGUCACUUCCUGUUGCCAGCAGGUGGCGCUAUAGCGAUAUCUGAAUAUUGGCAUGUAGAUAUAUUCAGGUCAGGAGUCUUCUCAAACAUGUGAAGUUUGGGGUAGAUUGGACAUUGUAUGUCUGAGUUAUAGCAACUUCCUUUCUCAUGGCGAAACAUCGAAAUUUGUAAGGCCGCCACAGACACGCCCUUAAACGAAACCUCAAGAUCUUCGCAAUUUAACAUCGCAAAGGCCUUUAGAUUACACUGACAAAGUUUGGUGUUGAUCUGAAUAAAUCUCUAGGAGGAGUUCGUUAAAGUACAACCCCUGAAAAUGGCAAAAACGACACAAAUUUUGCAUAGAAAAUUCAAAAUAACUGACUUCCUGUUGGGAUUCGAAUUUCGUACCAAGAGACUUUUUUUGUAGGUAUUGGUGUGUUACAUGUGUGUACCGUUUUUUGUACAUGUACGUGAAACGUAGCUCGAGGCGCACUCCGUUGAAAAUGUAUAGGUGGCGCUAUCGAGGCAUUUUUGCCACACCCAAUGGAAUAUUGGCCUUCAGAUUUGUUCAGGCCAGGACUCUUAUCGAAACAUGUGAAGUUUGGGCAAGAUCGGACAUUUUAUGCUUGAGUUACAAUAACUUUUAUUCCCAUGGCGAGACAUCGAACUUUGUGACGGCGCCAUGGACACGCCCUUUAACGAA